RNAcentral lists this ribosomal RNA (1361 nucleotides) under uncultured bacterium. RNAcentral describes it as "bacterial SSU rRNA". It matches the Rfam family "Bacterial small subunit ribosomal RNA", at positions 28 to 1381 of the family's 1533-position model. The record is from RNAcentral.
AUUGAACGCUGGCGGCAGGCCUAACACAUGCAAGUCGAGCGGUAGCACAGAGAGCUUGCUCUCGGGUGACGAGCGGCGGACGGGUGAGUAAUGUCUGGGAAACUGCCUGAUGGAGGGGGAUAACUACUGGAAACGGUAGCUAAUACCGCAUAACGUCGCAAGACCAAAGUGGGGGACCUUCGGGCCUCAUGCCAUCAGAUGUGCCCAGAUGGGAUUAGCUAGUAGGUGGGGUAACGGCUCACCUAGGCGACGAUCCCUAGCUGGUCUGAGAGGAUGACCAGCCACACUGGAACUGAGACACGGUCCAGACUCCUACGGGAGGCAGCAGUGGGGAAUAUUGCACAAUGGGCGCAAGCCUGAUGCAGCCAUGCCGCGUGUGUGAAGAAGGCCUUCGGGUUGUAAAGCACUUUCAGCGGGGAGGAAGGCGGUGAGGUUAAUAACCUCAUCGAUUGACGUUACCCGCAGAAGAAGCGCCGGCUAACUCCGUGCCAGCAGCCGCGGUAAUACGGAGGGUGCAAGCGUUAAUCGGAAUUACUGGGCGUAAAGCGCACGCAGGCGGUCUGUCAAGUCGGAUGUGAAAUCCCCGGGCUCAACCUGGGAACUGCAUUCGAAACUGGCAGGCUAGAGUCUUGUAGAGGGGGGUAGAAUUCCAGGUGUAGCGGUGAAAUGCGUAGAGAUCUGGAGGAAUACCGGUGGCGAAGGCGGCCCCCUGGACAAAGACUGACGCUCAGGUGCGAAAGCGUGGGGAGCAAACAGGAUUAGAUACCCUGGUAGUCCACGCCGUAAACGAUGUCGAUUUGGAGGUUGUGCCCUUGAGGCGUGGCUUCCGGAGCUAACGCGUUAAAUCGACCGCCUGGGGAGUACGGCCGCAAGGUUAAAACUCAAAUGAAUUGACGGGGGCCCGCACAAGCGGUGGAGCAUGUGGUUUAAUUCGAUGCAACGCGAAGAACCUUACCUGGUCUUGACAUCCACAGAACUUUCCAGAGAUGGAUUGGUGCCUUCGGGAACUGUGAGACAGGUGCUGCAUGGCUGUCGUCAGCUCGUGUUGUGAAAUGUUGGGUUAAGUCCCGCAACGAGCGCAACCCUUAUCCUUUGUUGCCAGCGGUCCGGCCGGGAACUCAAAGGAGACUGCCAGUGAUAAACUGGAGGAAGGUGGGGAUGACGUCAAGUCAUCAUGGCCCUUACGACCAGGGCUACACACGUGCUACAAUGGCAUAUACAAAGAGAAGCGACCUCGCGAGAGCAAGCGGACCUCAUAAAGUAUGUCGUAGUCCGGAUUGGAGUCUGCAACUCGACUCCAUGAAGUCGGAAUCGCUAGUAAUCGUAGAUCAGAAUGCUACGGUGAAUACGUUCCCGGGCCU